Long non-coding RNA from Stegodyphus dumicola, 501 nucleotides. RefSeq lists it as uncharacterized. NCBI's taxonomy places the organism in Eukaryota, Metazoa, Arthropoda, Arachnida, Araneae, Eresidae. The record is from RefSeq and is a predicted model, not a curated record.
CGUCCUAUUGCCCAAUCCGAACUGUGGAGAUAAUAUUCCUGGCAAGGAAAAUUAUGGUUGUUUAACUGCGUAGAGAACAGACGGUACCAUAUUUCAACGGAAAUAUCCAGUUUGACCAUUCCCGAAUCCAUUGGGAUGAUUUUCUGCUUGGCGUCUGAACGUACGGACAGAAUGAAGGAUUUUUCCAAAACGGAUCGUAAAAUGGAUGCAAGAGCGAUUUUUUCCGGACGUCUGUACGUACGUAUGUAACCCAAGGAAAGAUCUUCGAUGCUGUUAAAUAUGGAUAGCGGAUGGCAAAGUCCAAUCAAUCACGAAAGCCGGAAAUCAGACCAUUUGGAAACGUCUGUCGGAGUACAAUCGAACUUUAUCCUGCCGUUAAACGCAGUGUUGCCUAAGCAAUAGUGCGAUAUUGGCUAUUUUUGACAAACGUAUGAUACUAAAAUUUAUGGAUAUGUGAUUUGGUGAAUUCUCUGCUUCUCCAUCAAAUGUGCAUAUGUUAAU